GAGCCCAAGGGAAGAUGUUGGGGCGUGGGGGACAGCAGGGCCCAGCGCCUCUCAUCUCUCUCCCUCUGUUGACAGUGACGGCGCCGGCAGGAGUGGCACCUAUGUCCUGAUCGACAUGGUUCUCAAUAAGAUGGCCAAAGGCGCCAAGGAGAUUGACAUCGCGGCGACGCUGGAGCACCUGCGGGACCAGAGACCGGGCAUGGUCCAGACAAAGGAGCAGUUCGAGUUUGCGCUGACGGCGGUGGCCGAGGAGGUGAACACCAUUCUCAAGGCCUUUCCCCAGUGAGCCCUGCCCCGGGGGUGCUGUCUGCAGCCGCGAGAUAAUGUCACCGCGUCUCCUAGUGUCACGUCGCCUGCCUAGUGAUCAGCUCCUUAAGCCUCCGUCGUCAGUACAGUUUAGCAGUUAACAUGUGCAUUUUUCCUCAACCAAAUAAUAAUCGAGAUCUGUGGGACCAAGCAAUUACAGGGGACAAGAUCAGUUCAUCUAUUUUCACGUUCUUGAAAAAAAAAAUAUUUUUCCUUAAAGCACAGUCCACGUUCUUCGCCGCCGAUCGUGUCGCACGGAUGGCACCCGAAUGCACACAGUUUGGUCCCCGGAAGAGAGCUGGCUUGUAACCCCCUAAAGGAAGGUCAGCCGGGCAGGGAGGGGCCCAGCGAGGCUGGCAGGGCACCGAGGGAGGCCACCAGCCGGAGAAAACGCCUUUGGCUUCUGUCUGGACGAGUUUGUCACCAGGAGAAAUCAGCAGCUUAUUCAGGAGCUAGAUGACAAAACGGUGGCAUCCUGCAGCUUGGGAGCCGAUAGUAAGAAAAUCGUCACAGCGCCUGGUUCAGUCCCCCGAGCUACGACAGCCCCUCUCCCUCUGCCCCCAAGGCGGGCAGGGCCCCGGGGAGCAGACGCUUCCCCCGCCACCAGCCCCCAGGCCAGGCACCCCCAGGACGGCCUCACCCAGGCAGGGGUGGGGCUUUCACGCUAAAUGGGGGUCUGCACUUGGCAAGAACACGCCGCUAACCCCGCAGGUUGACCGAAACCAGCGAAGGCAGAGCUGGGCAUGCCUUGGGCUCCCGGCAGGCAUCUCCGCUCCCCUCUGGUGCAGGCAAGAGGCCCGCUGGCGCCCACGGGAGACAGAGAUGAGCUCACCUCGGGAGAAAUGCGGGGAGAGAGACCACAUCGUCUGCUUUCACCUGGUAGAAUCCGAGCCCCUGGGGACCGGCGAUGGCCCGGCCCUGGGCUCGGGCUCCCAUCACGCACCGGCUCCUGGCAGACGUCACGGCGAUGAUGGGAUUUGCCGGGCUCGUGCCUGAGCCCCAGGUUUACUGCCUGAAGCCGAAGAAUACAUUUCAUUAACCUGGGAUGGUCACACCUAGGAAGACAUGCUGGCUGAUCUUGGGGGGCGGAGGGGGGGGGUCUUGUUGGGAAGAAAACGCUCCUGGUAAUUCUCCCUCCAGCCGUCGACACAGUCUCUCCAUCUCGGACAGAUGUGGCAGCUCCAAAGACAGAAGGGAAUCGUGGCCGGCGGAACGGGGAGAAAGAUGCCCAAAUAUUAUCUGUGUCUUUAAAUGGUGUCGUCCCGCAGGUCCGCUUCCACAGCUCUACAAUUUCUCUCCCCGAGUGGUUUCUCUCUAUCUCGAAUCUAGAUAAUUAAUAGAACGAAUUGAUCUGAAUUUAGGAAUCGCAUACCUACGUGAAAUUUCUCACUUCUUACGUUUCUUCCAUGUGAGAUCUGAAAGCCUAUUCAAUUGUGUCCGAUUAAACUUCUGAUUUCACCCUCGACUGGUCUUUCUUUGGGAUGAGAGGGCAGGUUUUUCCCGCUCAUCCUUUGUUCCCUGCGGGUGUGGGCGUUUAGUGCAGAGACCAAGUGUGAGUUCCUUGGAACUCUGUCCUGAGCUGCUGUCUUAUCUGCAGAGCUGGGUGUGUACCAAGGGCCACCGUUGAGUGUCGCUGAGAAUUUAUUCAUUAAAAAGUGAUAAAACAACCUCCGCUAAAAGCUGGGGGGAGGGCUGUGCUUGAGUUUGCCCCCCUCUCGCCCCCGUGCUGGUCCACCUCGGCUGGCGGUGGCGACACACGACAGUCAGUGACGUCCUACAAAAUGCUGGUGCCCUUUCUCGAGGCGUCAGCCUGCAGCUCGUCCAUCCUGUGGCUCCAUCUCCCCUGGAAUCCGCCCCCCCCCCCGCCCCAGGUGUGCUUCUCAUUAGAAUCCUGCCCAGGGUUCCAGGAAGCUUCUGCUUUCCAUGUGUGGCAGUUACUGUCACUGUCACAGAGCAGCGGGGACACUUCCCACAAUAAACGCAUGUCAGAAUUUGCAUGCAGCAGACAGGGAGCCAGGCCAGGUUCCCCUCCCGCCAGCAGUAUUAACAAAUGCUGGGCCAGAUGGACUUAAAACCCCAGAGCAGACUGACGGGGUAUGGAGGGAGGCAGUGUGGGUAGAGCCGGGGGGCGCUGAGGCCGGGUCUAAGCUGUCCACUCGGACCACGAGGGGUCAGCAAGGAGCUGCUGGGAAGUGCUCACAACCCGCUCACGAAGAAUGGACAGAGAUGCAGCUGGUUCAUUAUGAGAUGCACAGCACAGCACCGACGAGGACACACAGCCCACUGUCCGGCCGAGGUCUCGGAGCUCACGGAUUCCCACAGGGGGCUGGGUUCAGGUUUUGCGGAAUCCCUGGUCUGUAGCCGCCCAGUGGCCACGGCUGGGGAACGCGUGUGGCUCCAGCAUGAGUCCUGGCUGACGGGUUCACCUCAACAGGUGACGUGGUCAGAACUCACCUCCUUCACUAGUGAUGCCAACAGCUUUUUGCCGGCCUGGAUGGUGGUUUCUGAGCCUGGGGGAGUCCGGCCUGCAUUUUGAUGUGGAUCCCAGACGUGAGGCUUUGCAGACAUGCCUCACUUUUUUUUUUUCCUUCAUGCACCUGCAGCAUAUGGAGGUUCCCAGGUGAGGGGUCCAAUCAGAGCUACAGCUGCCGACCUGCGCCACAGCCACAGCAACGAGGGAUCCGAGCAGCAUCUGUGACCUACACCCCAGCUCAGGGAAACACUGAUCCUUAACCCACUGAGUGAGGCCAGGAAUCGAACCCGCACCCUCACGGUUCCUGGUCAGAUUCGUUUCUGCUGCACCAUAAUGGGAACUCCAUGGCUCACAUUUAAGUUUCAUCAGCAUGAUUGCCCUUGUUUCAAGCGUAGGCAACGAACAGGACAAAAAUAAAGCUGCGAUUCAUCAAAUCUGCUGAUGUCUAUGAUGGAAACACCCACUAUGCAUGGUUUUAAUGUGGAUUCACUGGACAGAAACCAGUGAAUGGGAGAAGAUGGGGCCCUGGGAGCCCUGGGGCGACGCGGUCAGGACAGGAGGCGCUGAGCUUCCAGUGUUUACUGCCUGUGUGUUCAUCGGAUUUGUCUGUUACUAUAAUUUAAUUUUAUCAGUGGCUGUAUACAACAACCGGCUCAGGAAAUUCCUCAAAGUUCAACGAUCUGAGCCUGCGAGUCCGCACAAGCUGGCUACGCUGUGCCCCUGCGACGGAGCCGCGUGAGGAUGGAGGGGUUUGGAGAACAGUGGCGCCGGUUCCGCAGCCUGGCGCUCCUGUCUCAGCUGCGCAGCCCUGAGCUGGCCCAGAUCCCGACGCCAAGUUCCAGAUCGGAGCCGGCAGCCAGCACCUGUUUGGAGUUUUAUUAUCAGCGUGAGACUUUCUUCUCAAUUGGCGCUGGGACCAGCCUGGACGUCUCCCAACCACGGGGAGGCUCUCUUCCCCAGUGACACCCAGCACUUAGUGUGCACCAAGGGUAUACCCUGCUCAGGAGGUUGGGGGGGCGGGCAGCAGGAGCUACGGGCCCAGGUCCUCAAGACCAACAAGAAACACUGGGUCCGGGAGGCUGCUGGGCCAAACGUGAGGCCGCCUGGACCCGUGUCCUCACCAGAUGCCAGUGAGCCCAUCACUGCAGCAGGGGGCGCAGGGGCUACACGGCCACAGAGCCAACGUGGGCAGGUGGCCUGAUGCUCGCUGCCACCCCUGCCCCACGUCUCCUGGGCACAGGCGUCAAACCCCCGACCUUUCCAACACCAAGGGCGUAAUCGCCCGGCAGUUCAAGGGUGCGUUCUCUGAAAUCGUGGCUGCAGACGAAGACGAAAUUCAAAAAGCUAUUAGCGGCGAUCUUUCCAAAAAAAGACGAAAGCUCUGCGUGCUGCAGUCCCGUGGAGCAGGACCGGCAGGCCUGGGCCGUGAUGGUGACACCCUCAGUCUGGGACACCCACUCGGGGGUGGGACUGGGCUCGCUGAGUCCUUGAAACCGCCCGCGCGUCACACGCGCACACCAGCUGGCCCCAAGCUGUGUUAAAAUCGCGCCUCUGCUGGGAGUUCCGAGCCCUCGUGUGAGGAUGGGAGGUCACCGUCCCUGUGACUCGGGGCCGGCGUCACACUCGCUCUGCUGUCCCGCCCCCGCCUGCCCCUCCCUCUGCAACACAAGCUGCGUGGUUUCCCUCAGCUCGAGCCCUGCUGGUCCAGACUUCUGCAUCCUCCUCCGAGACCCCCGCGGUCCUGGGGGCCCGCUCAGCCCUCCCCGCCCACACCAAGGCCAUUUGCCACCUCGGCCUGGCACCCGCUGAGGCGCUGCGGCCGGGGCUGCGGGGCCCGUGCUCGGUCCGCCCUGCCCAGCCGCGUGGCUGAGAGCAGCAUCUCUCGGGGCCUGGGGUGGACGCGGCACAUCGGAACCCCCCCAAGCCUCCGCGCCAGCCAGGGCCACCGUCAGAGGCAGUUCCUGGGCCUCCUGGCGGGGCUGCUGCUCACCAGUUUACCAGGUGCCACUAGCCGCUGGGAUGGAUCUGGGAAGCUUUGAUGUUUUAAUUCCAGAAUGAACAUCAUACGUUGAAGAGGCCGGCUUGCUCACCCUUCAAGCUCCCUGCGCAUCCCCCCCACCCCACUCUUGCUUUCAAAUGCGUUCGAGAAACCACCACGUUCGUCCCGUGGGGGAAUGACAGCCGUAUUAUAUGUAAUGUGUGUUGUGUGCUUUCUUAAUCAAGUAGAACCUAAUAAAAACCCUUCAU
This 5026-nucleotide long non-coding RNA is filed under the name Sus scrofa (pig). Its description in RNAcentral is "lncRNA (ENSSSCG00025033131.1)". Lineage: Eukaryota; Metazoa; Chordata; Mammalia; Artiodactyla; Suidae. The record is from RNAcentral.